AACCUCGUUAGGUGAGGCUCCUAUAUGGAGACACGCUGCUGCCCAGAAACGUCGAAAGACACCAAUGGGUCAACAGAAACCAUCGACAUAAGGUGGUUUUUAAUGUAGCUGGAUGAAAUAUUCAUCCUAUGCCAUAUAGUGCUAAAGCUCAACGAAUAGA
This 160-nucleotide small RNA is filed under the name uncultured Siminovitchia sp. RNAcentral describes it as "M-box riboswitch (ykoK leader)". It matches the Rfam family "M-box riboswitch aptamer (ykoK leader)". Rfam says of the family: M-box riboswitch, also know as ykoK leader is described as a metaloregulatory RNA that sense divalent metals and function as a genetic control element of genes related to divalent metal transport in bacteria. It was first reported upstream of the B.subtilis ykoK gene and genes with related functions in other bacteria. Phylogenetic analysis of the distribution of M-box RNAs across bacterial genomes revealed that M-box riboswitches are most often employed for the regulation of Mg2+ transporter genes The record is from RNAcentral. Lineage: Bacteria; Bacillati; Bacillota; Bacilli; Caryophanales; Bacillaceae.